RNAcentral lists this ribosomal RNA (903 nucleotides) under Paraidriella jambosae. RNAcentral's name for it is "eukaryotic LSU rRNA". It matches the Rfam family "Eukaryotic large subunit ribosomal RNA", at positions 1 to 938 of the family's 3401-position model. Lineage: Eukaryota; Fungi; Ascomycota; Sordariomycetes; Xylariales. The record is from RNAcentral.
GUUGACCUCGGAUCAGGUAGGAAUACCCGCUGAACUUAAGCAUAUCAAUAAGCGGAGGAAAAGAAACCAACAGGGAUUGCCCUAGUAACGGCGAGUGAAGCGGCAACAGCUCAAAUUUGAAAUCUGGCCUUGGCCCGAAUUGUAAUUUGUAGAGGAUGCUUUUGGUGUGGUACCUUCCGAGUUCCCUGGAACGGGACGCCUUAGAGGGUGAGAGCCCCGUACGGUUGGAUGCCUAGCCUCUGUAAAGCUCCUUCGACGAGUCGAGUAGUUUGGGAAUGCUGCUCUAAAUGGGAGGUAAAUUUCUUCUAAAGCUAAAUACCGGCCAGAGACCGAUAGCGCACAAGUAGAGUGAUCGAAAGAUGAAAAGCACUUUGAAAAGAGGGUUAAAUAGCACGUGAAAUUGUUGAAAGGGAAGCGCUUAUGACCAGACUUUUGCCUGGCGGAUCAUCCGGUGUUCUCACCGGUGCACUUCGCCUGGUUUAGGCCAGCAUCGAUUUUUCUAGAGGGAUAAAGGCUUUGGGAAUGUGGCUCCUCGGAGUGUUAUAGCCCAUUGUGUAAUACCUUUAGAGGGAUCGAGGUUCGCGCUCUGCAAGGAUGCUGGCAUAAUGGUCAUCAGCGACCCGUCUUGAAACACGGACCAAGGAGUCGAACAUUUGUGCAAGUGUUUGGGUGUUAAACCCUCACGCGUAAUGAAAGUGAACGUAGGUGAGAGCUUCGGCGCAUCAUCGACCGAUCCUGAUGUUUUCGGAUGGAUUUGAGUAAGAGCAUAACUGUUCGGACCCGAAAGAUGGUGAACUAUGCGUGGAUAGGGUGAAGCCAGAGGAAACUCUGGUGGAGGCUCGCAGCGGUUCUGACGUGCAAAUCGAUCGUCAAAUCUGCGCAUGGGGGCGAAAGACUAAUCGA